AAAAUGAUGUGAUAUAAAACUUGUGAUCUAAUCGGUAGUGGAGUUCAUAUCUAAUAUCCACGAAGACGCACUAUUAGCUCCAGAUAUCUUGAACCAACGGAUUGAAGGUAAUAGCCCCCAUCUUCAAAUCUAACUCAUUAUCAUAAUCAAAUCAUCCUCCACCACCAACUGAUCAGUUUUGAGCAUCAGAAACAUGAAGAAGAUGCCCUCCCAAGCUGCUCGAAACUCUGCACCGAUAAUGAAACUUUCAAAUAAACUAAUCCCUCCCAAAUGAACUUAGAAUCUAGGUCUCU
RNAcentral lists this long non-coding RNA (293 nucleotides) under Elaeis guineensis (African oil palm). RNAcentral describes it as "long non-coding RNA (EGUI_LNC011915)". Lineage: Eukaryota; Viridiplantae; Streptophyta; Magnoliopsida; Arecales; Arecaceae. The record is from RNAcentral.